Nelumbo nucifera (sacred lotus) is the source of this 474-nucleotide non-coding RNA. The record is from RefSeq and is a predicted model, not a curated record. NCBI's taxonomy places the organism in Eukaryota, Viridiplantae, Streptophyta, Magnoliopsida, Proteales, Nelumbonaceae.
UGUCACUGACAUCCAAAACCAACGACAGGUCUUUUUCUUUCCCAGAAAACCGAUUAUCUUUGAAAACCCUUAUUAUACCCUCCUCCCUCAACUGUGAGCGGUGAACUCCGACGGAAAGGUCAUCCUCACCGAAAACCAAGAAAGCAUGCACCGAUAUUUUCUCCGGCAUAACCGGAGAAAUGCGAAGAAUGAGGGGUGCAACUUUCUUUCUCGGUGCAACCCAAUAACAUUUGAUAGAGAGGUUGAGGACCCAGAUCAUAUUAUGCAAAGGCCAAAGGGUGGUUCAACAAGGUAUUCAAGGAUGAUUGAUUGAAUUGAAGCGUGAAGUUAGAGCAUUAGAAGAGUGGUUUCAGGUUUUACAUGUACAAGUUGAAGAGUUUUGUAAGGAGAUUGAAAUUGUUAGGAGAGUAAAGAUGCAUUGGUAUUUGGAAUUGUUAUUCUUUUUAUUGUAUGUAGUUGUUGCAUUUAUGUGAA